RNAcentral lists this ribosomal RNA (253 nucleotides) under uncultured bacterium. RNAcentral's name for it is "partial 16S ribosomal RNA". It matches the Rfam family "Bacterial small subunit ribosomal RNA", at positions 524 to 776 of the family's 1533-position model. The record is from RNAcentral.
UACGAAGGGGGCUAGCGUUGCUCGGAAUUACUGGGCGUAAAGCGCACGUAGGCGGCUUUCUAAGUCGGGGGUGAAAUCCUGGAGCUCAACUCCAGAACUGCCUUCGAUACUGGAGAGCUCGAGUCCGGGAGAGGUGAGUGGAACUGCGAGUGUAGAGGUGAAAUUCGCAGAUAUUCGCAAGAACACCAGUGGCGAAGGCGGCUCACUGGCUCGGUACUGACGCUGAGGUGCGAAAGCGUGGGGAGCAAACAGG